AUAAAUGUUUUUUCUUCUUUACCUCUUCACACUGUCUUCUUUCUCUUCAUGAACACAGACACGAAUUCUCUCUAGUUUCUCCAGGGGGUGAUAACAGCAAGGCUCCUUCCCUCUGGAAACAUAUACAAUUUUGCUGGAGUAAUAAAAACACCAAAAAGAAGAACCAGCAGCAGACGCAGCUGUGCUACUGAAUGGUCAGAGAACACAGGAAGAGUGUGUCAGAAGCUUGAAGAAGAAGCAAAAUAUUUAACUUAGAAGCAAUUAGACAUGAAUGGACCACUUGCUCAAAUUUGGGAACUUUGCAACUUUGAACUUUGCUUUUGGGGGCAAGAGUGAAUCGCAUAUUCAAGGAAUCUGGGUGACUUCUUCACAGCUCUGAACACUGUUUAAGAGAUGAGAUGUCUGUGCCAAGAACAUGUUGUAAUCUCAGCAGCAUGAAGUGAACAUGAAGUGGAGGAGAACAAGUGAUCACAUCAACUCAGAACUGAUGCUUCUUAGAUUUGACAAUUGCAUCUUACACUGUGAUACUGCAGGUCAUUCAUUUGACAAGAGGCCUAAUCACAUUGCUCCUGUGAAGGUUUGUUCAUAUCUAUGUAUUUUUUCAUUAGAAUAGCUCCUAAGCCAUUUUUCAGGCAGUUAGCUCACAAUACUUUGGUACAGGUUAUUAUUC
Molecule: long non-coding RNA, 670 nt
Filed under: Coturnix japonica (Japanese quail)
Lineage: Eukaryota; Metazoa; Chordata; Aves; Galliformes; Phasianidae
Description: lncRNA (ENSCJPG00005017650.1)
Source: RNAcentral